CAACAAACCUAGCGAGGACCAGCUGUCUUCCUGGCUAAAAUGCAGAAGAGUUUUUCUUUUCCAGUCUUUGCCUGUGCAUUUCGAGCAAACGAAUUCAAUUGCCUUUGUUUUACUCCGAAUUCAAACGGUAACAUGCUUAGUUUUUACCUUUUUAUUUUCAAUUUCGUUUUUCUUUUCGAAUUCAACGGAUCUCAAGCAAAAACAAAAACGAAUUUCAAGUCAAAAUUGGGUUCCAAGGCAAUCCCAAAUGUCCCACAUCGUUUUGAAGCCUAAGAUUUGAACAUUUUGGGAUUCUAUAAAUAGAACCCCAUUUUCUUCAUUCAAGGGGAUGGUUUUUCACACCCCCAAGUUCUGAAAUUUGUAAUUGCUCAGCUUUAAACAAGAAAUUUUCUCUUGUGAACCGAGUCCUUGAAUUAUCGGAACAAGUAAAUAUUUUUGAGUUUGAGUUAAUUGUCGUGUUGGUGAAAGUUCGAAGGUGAUCGACUCAACUUUCGUUGCCCCCGUCGCUGCUCCCGAAAAAAGAGUUCUAAAUCCCAAAUGUCCUUGAUGUGUUUCGAUGGAUGAGGUGUUGCCAAGUUUUGUCGAGACAACAUGUCUGUUGCCAUAUUUUGCUGAUGUCUCUGAUGAGCAAAUACUGCCCCAAAAUGUUGCAUCUGAUGAGAACAUAUACUGUAAUCAAAUGUUGUCACUUUCUAAAGGCAUUUUGCUACUGCGUUUUGCUAUCGGCUGCUGCAUUUUUGGGGCUACUUGUUGCAUUAUUGAGGUCAAAUAUUCUAAGACGAAAGGCGGUAUUUCAAGCCAAGUGAUAACUGCAUGUUAGGCCAAGCAAAAUGCUACAUUCUGGGCCAAAGUGCUGCUGCACUUUCAGAUGUGGCAUUCUGAGGGAAUAUUGCUGCAUUUAAGUGAAUAAGGGGGAAGCUCUUGAGGUUAAAUGUUGCUAUUUGUUUAAGGCGAGCAACUGCUGCACUCUGAGCUGAUUUGCUGCUGCAUUUCAAGGCAAGCAAGUGCAGCCAAAAUGCUGCUUCACUUUAAAGCAAACAGAUGUUGCGUUUGGUGGAAAUGGCUGCUGUAUUUUCUGAGGCCAAACAGAUGCUGGAUUGGUGUCCCAAUGCUGCACUUUAAAGGGCAACAACUGUUGCACUUUAAAGCAAACAGAUGCUUCAUUUGAGCUGUUAUAUUUGAUAAACUAUUGUUGCAUUUCAAUGAGUUUGUCGUUGUACUCUAUGGGCUGCUUGCUGUGUGAGGGCUACAUAUUUAGUAAAUAUAUGAGCUUGGAGGCUAACUGUUGUUGUUGCCCGAAGGGAAAGGGCCAUUAUGUUUUUGCUGAAGUUCGAAAUGGCAUAUCUUGAGCAAACUGCUGCACUUGAGUCGUUGCUUAAGAAGAUAACUGCUAUUUUUUAGCUAGGCCAUGGCUGUCACACUUAGUUGGAUUACUGCUAGCAGCUGCUGCUUUAAGUCGAGUUAUUUUGCUAAGUAACCGUUGUGUUUUGAAGCUCAGAUGUUGCACUUGAUAAAAUGAGUGUUUACUGAUUUGAAUAUAAUACUACACUUGGGCCGAUGAGAAAAAUUUAAAUUGAGGCCAUGCCUUGUCCGGAAAGGUUAUCCCUCGGUUUAGGCGUUGACGACCUCAUAGUAGUAUCACGAGGUAGGAACGAACAUGUGUUUCGCUAGGCAACUAGAAAGGCCACUAGUCUGCAGCCAAGACAUGUUUCGGAUUCCUUUGCCACAUUCAGAAACAUGAAUCUGAGCCUCCGUAAUCAAAGCUCUCAAAGUUUGAUACGAGUCCGAGGGCUAUUAUUAUUAUGUUCAUAAACGUCACCCUAUGGGGUGGCGUAUUAUUUUGACUAACUACUUUUCUCUUCAAUAUGCGAGGUACAAAUAAGCGAAUUUGUGGAGCAAAGCUUAAAGACGAAUUAAGAGAGUUGGAUGCUUAGAGCUUUGGAGUGUUGGAGCUUCGGAUGAAGAACUAGAAAGAGCAUAGAAGGCCUAUUGGAAUAGGAUUGCUAAAAGAUUUGGGCCCAAGGCCGAAAAUCUAAACUUUUUUUCCCUUCCCUUCAUAAUAUGUUUACAUUAGUUUUGUAUAAACAUGUAAAAAUACAUUUGUAUAGAUAUUGAAACCCUUACAAGUUAGAACCUACAAUUUAGGUAAAUGAUGCGGAUAGGGACUCGAAUAUGUUUCAAAUUGGACUCGAGAGAGAAAUGAGUUGUAUUCCAUAACAUGGCACUGGCACUCACACAAGUGCUCUUGUCUCACCUAUACGGGACUCCCAUUCCUCAU
Long non-coding RNA from Lycium barbarum (goji berry), 2278 nucleotides. RefSeq lists it as uncharacterized. The transcript is spliced from 2 exons. Lineage: Eukaryota; Viridiplantae; Streptophyta; Magnoliopsida; Solanales; Solanaceae. The record is from RefSeq and is a predicted model, not a curated record.